RNAcentral lists this long non-coding RNA (6722 nucleotides) under Nicotiana benthamiana. RNAcentral's name for it is "long non-coding RNA (NBEN_LNC013573)". Lineage: Eukaryota; Viridiplantae; Streptophyta; Magnoliopsida; Solanales; Solanaceae. The record is from RNAcentral.
ACCUGUGCUAUCACGAGUAUUCUUCCACGCUUCAAUUGCCACCUGCAUGGGGCAAUUUUAGCAUGUUUAGUGAAUACAGAUAACUAAAAAGAUCAUAGCCUCACAAAAAAGGUAAUAACUGCAUCUCACAGAAUGUUGUAUAAGAACGAGGUCUGCAACAAGAGGAAUUAAAUACCUUUCUAGGAUCAUCUGUCAAUGCAUCUAGUACAUCUUCAGAUCCAUCUAUGCCAGCUGCAACAUGAAGUGGUGUCAAACCUGCAGGCCCUACACAAUCAGGUCUAAACAAGAAUUCUCCGUGAAUCUCAACCAGGGAUUGGUAUUCCAAAGUUAGUUCAUCUGCUACUUUCUCUGGGGUAUAUGUUAAUAGCAAUUCAACCAGAGGCCUCGAAUUCCUACGCACAGCUCUAUGCAGAAGACCCAUCUCAGUAAGAGCAAAUUUCAAGGAAGUACUGUCUCCUGCGCCCACAGUUCCAUCAAGAAGAACGCUCAACAGUUUCUUAACUACUGCACACCAUUCAUGGUCUACGCAGAAAUCAAUAAGCCACUUGAACCGCUUCAAAGGAUAGAGAACCGGGUCAGGACCAAAAUGCUCUAAUCUAGCCUUCAAAUUAUUUCUAUGAAGCAGCCAACCCAGUUCAUGAAUAAAAUCCAUGGCUUGAUUUCUUGCUUCCAUAUUAUUUAUCUGUCCCUUGACAUAAUUAGCUGAAGUUAAAUCUAGUUCACUCUCAAGCAUACGGAUCUCAGAGCAAACAUCUUCCUCUGCAACUAUGAAAGGGAAGAAGCUAUUGCUGAGUCCGUGGUCUUCAACCUGGAUAACCAGAAGAAUCUCAGCAUGACUUGGAGUGUACAUCGCUUGAAUGGGAAUGUCUCAAAUUCUUUUGAAGUUACAAAAUGCAAAACAUUGUGACUGUUACAUGCUAUGCACAUCAUAUAGGCACCAAAUAUCUUUUAUAGCAUAAACACAGUACUGUAGAAAUAAAAGCAACUGAUAUAGCUAAGAUGGUGUGCACAAGACUCACAUUUCUGCAAUAUAUACACUGCCUCAUGGUCAAAUUUUAUAAUUAAGAAAAAAGUGUUAAAUGUCUCCACAUCUCGUACAACAGUAAUUUAUGUAAUCCAUUUGACUUAAGUGUUCUAAAUUUUAUUUUCUCUAUCUCGCAAGGAUAAACUUUUAUUACUCUGUUGGGCCACUUCAGAACUUUUUAAGAGAUCAAAAUCAUUCCAAGCUUCCUCAAGACAGUAAAAAGGUUCCUUUUCAAAAAAUAAAAGAAAAGAGCCGGUACUGACCAAACUUCGCCGGUAACGACAGUGAAAAUGAGAGACAGAAUAAACUCCCCUACUCAAUUUUGGCGAAUCAUGUUCAAAGAGAGAAACAAGAAGAUGAGAAAAGGUUCACCUCAAUAAAUCCUCUUCCAGUAACUGCUGGAACUGAACAUGUGAAAUUCAGGGAUUGGAGCUUAUCAUCCUUAUCAAUGCCAUCAACAUGUUUUUCUACCUCAUUAUUAGCUUCUGGAACCAGGUAAUUACUUUCUAAAGCACAAAGCAACCUGCCAAUAAAAAAUGAAAGCAGAAAAACAAAGACUUAAGUUACUGCACUUCACUAACAUAUUUUGCUAGGAAUAUACCACCAAAAUCCUCCUCAGACGAUUGAUGCAUACCUUGUGGAUGGCUUUGACAAAUUAUAGCCUUUGACUAAAAAUUGAGCUCUCCCAGAUACUGGCACAGCUAUUGGUCUGACACUUAAAAUUGUACUGUGCUCAUUACUCCCAGAGGGCAAGGACAUAUCCAAAAUAACCUGACCUAUAGCACAUAAACAGGACAAAGUAAAAUCUCAGUGAAGGACAGUACUGAUGCAAAAGUCGCCAGAAAAGAUCUAGUGAAGCUGAUUUUAUAUUUUGGGUUUGGGAAGAAUUUUAAAUAGAAAAGACAUUAGAUUUGAACAGACCAUCACAAACAAAUGCGAUUUGGUUCUGCACGCUAAUGUAAAUCCAUCCUUUUGUCCAGAAAUUAUCAUCACCAUGGACAUCCAAAAGCCUACUCAGACUGGAGUUCAGAUCAUAACAAAGCUGUACAAAGCAAUUAAUUUACACGUCAAAUAGUAUUCCACAGACAGCCCACUACAAAAUACAGGAUUUUAAAGAGCAUGCAGUACCUCUUCCCAUGCAGACUCGGGAAGCCUCAGAUAUACUGUUAACACAACACAACCGGGACGAAUGUAGCUUUCAAUCUCAGUAGGACUGUGAGAUAACCAGUCAAGAAUCUGAAAUUUCAAAUAAUUCAAAGAGCAUUUCAGAAAAAAGAAAAAGUAAGACGGAGUUUAAGCCAUCCAGAAACAUACAACAAAAACAAGAACCAUGUGUACUCAAGAAAUGAAAUACCUGAGCUCGUACAACAAAUGGAAAAUCACCAGGAUCUUUUCCGAAUAGUUUAAAAACAAUCCGAUCCGUGCGUGUCUGCAUCCAACAAAAAUAAAUUUUCAGUUCAGGAAAAGAAAGGGAUAUCAAGUUAACUAGUCUUGGUUGUUGUCAUCUUCCUUCUCUUUCAUUUUGUAAGAUACUCAUUCUUUUGUGAUAAGACCACAAACUUGAGCACUGAAAAGUACUAGAUAUAGGUUGGCGGACAUAGUGUUUUAAAAGUCAAAAGCACACAGAAGCGACGGGGUUUGCGAAGCUUGAAGUGCAACGGGAUAAGUGAAACACAUCCCUAGAAGUGACAGUACAAAAUUUAUGAAAGGUCAAAGUACCACAUGCAUAUGAGUGAGUACUAUCACAAACAAGUAUCAAUUGAAAAAACUAAUUUUAGUGUCCGAAAUACAAUGAUGCUGAUAUUAAUCUAACUCCUCAAAGCUGAGAUUCAAAAAAUCGACUGCUUCUUGUUGGUACCACUCAACGCAUCACCUGUUUGAAUCGCACACCUCUCUAAAGCACAUGUCUUUACCAAUGAAGCGAUAACACCUUGCUUCGCAUCACCUUAAGCAACAAAAGAUGACCUUUAAUAAUACUGAGCGAACUGGCAAUUUGAUGACAUCCAACCUUUAUCUAACUACAUAAUGCAUCAUCAAAUAAGACAUUGUGCAAUACUCAGAAACUGGCAUGUUCUUACUGAUCAGAGAAACCAUAUUUAAAUAGUAGUAAGAAUUUAGCUGUCGGUUACUGGAACUAGAGCUUCUAUAAUUGCAGAGCAACCAGCUUGUUCACAUUUCCUAGCAUCAAUCUUGGAGAAACGGGCCAGCAAGGGACAUUUAACAGUUUGAUGAUCAUUUCGAAACCCAGAGAACGAUAAGUAUUGCACUCUUAAUGAAUAUUUUAUUCCCUCGUUUUCUUUCCCCUGUUUUUACUCACUGUGUGAGAAAAGAACAUCGAAGAUAGUUAAAGGCGAAAGAAGGAGAGAUAAGGGAAAUUCAGAGACAACUCAAGACAGAACUUGAUAGAGCGCAGAAGUCAACCUCCAAUGAAAGGACGGGAAAAAAACAGAAAUCACCACAAUUCAGCUUCAGAAAGUUUAUCACAAUGUUAGCGGGAAAUUUCAAAAGCAAGAAUAGACUACCAAAAAAGAGGUGAUCUAAAGACAGAAAAUAGAAACUCAAGUGUUACCACUUAGACAGAUAUUGACUUUAUAAUACUCAGACACCAACAACAACAACAACAACAACUACCCAGUAUAGUCCCACAAAGUGGGGUCUGGGGAAGGUAANNNNNNNNNNNNNNNNNNNNNNNNNNNNNNNNNNNNNNNNNNNNNNNNNNNNNNNNNNNNNNNNNNNNNNNNNNNNNNNNNNNNNNNNNNNNNNNNNNNNACAACUCACCCUACCCGAAAGGGUAGAGAGGCUGUUUCCAAUCGACCCUCGGCUCAGAGAAGGAAAGGAAAAACAAACAAAAACAAAAACAAAAGAGCAUUAGUAAGUCCAGCAGAAAUAGCGUAAUAAUUAACUAAACAUAAGAACCAUAAAUAAAAUAGCAUGCAAUAAUAUCAUAAUACACCAAAUGUAUACAUAUGGAUCUAUAGUUAGCAAGGUAUUCCUCACACAGAAAGAGAGACUUCAUUGAUAGGUUUUAACAGGUUAAAGAAUUCGAGAAAACUAUUACGAUUCAAGCUAUUGCCUCUGUCCCCUUAUCAAACUUAGUCCACUGAAAAAUGUACCAAAUUCUAGGUCUCGGGGUCCAGCAGAGAAAAGGUAACUUGAUCCUACCUUCAGAUAAACCAUUUCAAUAAAAACAAGAGUAUAAAGAAGAAAGUACAGAACGAGAAAAGAAGAAACCAACAAAAUGAAAUUUGCAGCACAUGAAAAACUGAAAAAUCAUACUUAGAUCAUUAUAGGAGUACCUGAGUGUCACCACUGGAACUGGAAGGUGACUGGGCAGAAGCGGAAUCUGAAUUACCACUUGUUUGAGGUGGACUUGACUGGUGAGAGUCCUGCUGUAACCAAGAUGGGCACUGCACAGGGGAUCUAUCUAUAUCUUCUAUAUUGUCAUCCGAAUCAACAUAAACAUCAUUCAAGUCGAAGUCAAUCAACUUGCUCCUUCCAGUGGUAUUUCCCCUGCCUUGUGCAUAAGCUUGAGAAUUGCUUUGAACUGGGGGAAACAAAAUGCCUGGGCUUUGAGAAGAAGCCGUCCGCCCAUCUUCAAGCCUGACAUCAUGUGCAUCUAACCUUUUCUCAGGCAUCUCAGCUGCUGAAUUAGUGAACUGAUGUUCUUUGGCUCUAGGAGGUGCCUGUGAACAAUUUGAGAUCAUGGAAGCUAAUUCUGGAUUUCGAAGGAUUGACCUAUUGUUCAGCAAGUUUGAAGAUUCUUGCAGAAGUCCAGAUAAGCUUUUAUCGCCGUUCAACGAACCCUGGCCGGCAAUGCUUCUUAGUAGAUGGGCCAAAAGGUCCUGAUCUUCAGUCUGGUUAGUUCCGCUGGCUGCAAUAUAUAAAAUUCAUUACUUUGCAGUUAAUUCUAAAGCACAACAGCAACAACUACUACUACCACUAUUCAAUCCCCAAACAAGUUGGGUUUUCGAUUAUGAAUCCUCACUAUAGCAGUAUAGCACAAGAAUUCUCAGAACCAAAAAAUAAUUUAAAACUUUGCAAAUUCAAAACAUAGCAGAAGGAAAACUAGGAAUUACUCACAGUGCAUGUUGGAGAGCAUUUUUAGCAGGCUCAUCAAGGAAUAACCAGUAGCCUGUCCAUCAUUCGAUGAAUUGUUGUUAGCUACAGAUUCUGAUUGUGUCUUUCUCCUCCUUUUAUUAUGCCCAGCUAGGCGUCGACGACAACUUCGUUUUCCUUCAUCAAACUCUUGAAGUGCAUGAAACCUGUGUAUCAAAAGCAGAAUCUUUGGAAUAUAACCAAAAAGGCAAUAUCUCAGGAUGAAGCAGUCAAACACAGAAAAAGAUUAAUCUUUUUUAAAGGGAUUCACAUGACUUACCAUCAAUCAAUUCAUCAAUCAAUCCACUAUUCAAAAUUCACAUAUUAUUCUAAGUCAGUUAUAUUAGUCAUUCAUAUCAUUUCCACUUUUUUCGCACCCAUUUCAUUCUUUUAAUAUGCCGGGCUAGGAUGAAACCCGUGUUUUAUCAAAGCAGAAUCUUUGGAAUAAUAAACACAGAAUUAUUCAGAAAUCAAUAGUCCUAACACAAACAACCAAACGCAGAAAAAGAUCGAAUUUUUUAAAGGAUUCACAAGAAUAGCCAUCAAUCAAUUAAUCAUUCAACUACAACUCAUUCCCAAAUUAUAUAGAUCGGUUAUAUUAGUCAUUUAUAUAAAGUAAAAAAGUAAUACCUGCUGCACUGCUGGCAGAAACGCUGCAUAACAUUCCCAACGAGAGCUCUACUAGCUUUGGAGUGCAUCUCACAAACUUUAUGCCGCCUAUGGUAGUCUUUAGCCUUACUUAGGUCGGUCCCACAAUCAUCAACCUGACAUACAGCUCUUGUAGUACCAGUAACAGGUGCAGGUAGAGCAGCAGCAGCAGCCAAUUUUGUCCUCUUUUCAGCUACAGGCUCAGCUUGUCCACCAAGCUUCAACGAAAGGGUCCCACCGGAAUCAUUUUCAUCAACGACAAUCACCCUUCUCCUUUUCUCCAGUUCCCUCCUCUGUUGAUCUAUCCCGUGAUUUGUUUCCUCUGAACAGGAAGAUGAACUGUUGGAUGAAGCCACCAGAUUCCCAGUUUCGACGGGGAAGAACUGCCUGCUUUGGUAAUUAUUAGAAGGGUUUUGACGAAGAGGAGUGGCAAUAAAAAGAUCUCCGUCCCAUUUCCAAUCAGUUACAUCCCACUCUAAGCUCCUCUUCCCUAAUCCUCGCAGAUCCGGUCCUCCCAUAUGGUAAUAACGCUUUCCCACGCUCGCUUCCAUCUAAGCUCCUUUUUGAGUGUGUGUGCACGCGCGCGUUUGAAGAUCUAAAUCCGGAGAUUUAGGUGAUUGAUGAUCGGACAAGUUUGAAUUACAGAUCAAAAGUCAAAAUUGAGAAGAAAAAAAAGAAGAAAGAUGAAAACUAGGAGAACUAAUCACUAAUCAGCUUCGAUACAGCCCCAAAAGUCGAGUACAAAGAGACGAGAACCAUGAUACCGAUUAACAGCAAGCCACAUACCCACACCAAAUUUCAGCGUUGACUAAGGAAAGGACUCGUGAAUUUGAAGAAUCUAGUACCGGAAAUUAGAUAAUUUAGCUCAACAAAAAAGAAAUAGCUUCUUUUACGGCGGCCAGGAAACGGCGGGAAGAAGGGGGCAGCGGCGACCGACGGUGAAGAAAGGACAAAG